This 467-nucleotide ribosomal RNA is filed under the name uncultured bacterium. Its description in RNAcentral is "partial 16S ribosomal RNA". It matches the Rfam family "Bacterial small subunit ribosomal RNA", at positions 28 to 506 of the family's 1533-position model. The record is from RNAcentral.
GACGAACGCUGGCGGCGGGCUUAACACAUGCAAGUCGAACGGAAAGGCCCUGCUUUUGUGGUGUGCUCGAGUGGCGAACGGGUGAGUAACACGUGAGUAACCUGCCCUAGACUUUGGGAUAACUUCAGGAAACUGGGGCUAAUACCGUAUAGCAGCUGCUGCUCCAUGGUGGGGGUUGGAAAUUUGCGGCGGUUGGGAAUGGACGCGCGGCUUAUCAGCUUGUUGGUGGGGUAGUGGCUUACCAAGGCUUUGACGGGUAGCCGGCCUGAGAGGGUGACCGGCUACAGUGGGCCUGAGAUACGGCCCAGACUGAUACGGGAGGCAGGAGUGGAGAAUAUUGCACGAUGGGCGGAGGCCUGAUGCAGCAACGCCGCGUGCGGGAUGACGGCCUUCGGGUAGUAAACGGCUUUCGCCUGUGACGCAGCGUGAGUGACGGUAAUGGGUAAAGAAGCACCGGCUAACUACGU